GAGGAGAAAAACAGAGCAGCCGCCGCACAUUUGAGAUAGAGCUUCCUGUGUGGGAUUUAGCCUAUGUGAGAGAGGCUUGUAACUCCAGAAAUCUGAGAAAUAAAUCCUCAAAUUGUUCCCAGCCUUACUAUUGUCGAGGUAUGCUGUUUGUCCUUGCAAAUCUCGUUUUUCUGCCGUACUAGUUUUGUCCCUGUGAUUCCUUGGCUAUAAUGGGGUUUCCUUGAUGGAAAAUCAUGUCUAAAUUCAUGUGCAUCCAUCCCUAGCUUUGAAUCUGGUUGUUAUUCAUUUAUUCAUGGGUUCUUGAGGAUGGCGCAGGAGUUUAACUUUUGUGAUUUAUUUUGUGCGAGUUCAUACUGAGUUCUUCCCCUGUUUUUGAUUCAAUUUGAGGUCGCAGUAGUUUCUAGGGAAGUUCUUGUAUGCGUGGUGGAAGGGAAGAGCACCUGCUGUUCUCUGUCUCGCCGCCGGGAGCGACCGUCUUAGGAUUCAGUUUAUCCUCUUCUAGCUGUUGUGUGACUUCCAAAUAGUAGAAUUGCUUUGUGCAAUUUUGCAGAGGUAUAAUCGUGGUUUUCAGUUGUUGGUAGUCUUGCAGCUCUAUGCGCUACAGGUGACUAGAGUUCCUGACAAGUGAAAUCAGCUCCAGGCAGUGUAGUUCUUCUCCAUUGAAAAAGUUUCUGCUAGUACGUGCACGUUAAGUACUAGUGUCUUGUGCUAGUGCGUGUUACUCUUUUGGGUUAAGUAGCUCCCAUUUGAUUAGCCUAUAACCUUGCCGUGUAACCUCUUGGUCUAAUUAAGCACUAAUUUUUCCAGUACACUUUUCCGGUGCUUAUUAUUCUUUGAGCUCUCAAGUCAAGAUUUGAGUAUUGUUGGACUAGUUCCAGUCUGUUUUGACAGGCAUAUUUUGUUUCCGCUGCGUAUUCCUCUAUUCCGAGCAUCAUAGUUUUUCCGUAACUAUCAUGCAAAAUUGAAGAGGUUAAAUUUUUCAAGGUCGUCAUUCAACCCCCCUUCUGACUCCCGGCAUUCGAUCCUACAAUUGGCAUCAGAGCCCGGUCGGCUCAUCUGUAGCCUUAAUCAGCUCUUGAGCCAUGGAGUCAUUUGCGAACCCGUUGCGUCCUCCGCUGUUCUCUGGGAGUGACUGGCCGUUUUGGAAGUCUCGGAUGAAAACAUUUCUUGAAGCUCAAAGCUAUGCAAUAUGGCAAAUUGUUGUGCGAGAUUUUGCAAUACCUGCUCGUGUUGGUCCUGAGAAUAUAGUUGAUGUUGAAAAUAAUUCCAAAGCUAUUAACAUUCUCUUGUCAGGUUUGGAUAGGAGAGAGCAUGAGCGUGUUGCACACCUAGACACAGCCCACAAAAUUUGGUCCACUCUCAUCACUUACCACGAGGGCACUAGUGAGAUUAAGACAGCUCGUCAGGACAUUUACAAAGCCGAGUACAACAAAUUUGAGCAGUUACCUAGUGAGUCUCUAGAGGACAUGUUUGGUAGGUUUGAGGUCAUAGUUGGGAAAUUGAGGGGUGUUGGGGUUGUGUACACUGAGUCUGAGAAAGCUAGACACAUCCUAAACUCUCUUGACCCAAUCUAUGAGAUGAGAAAGAUCGCGAUUCAAGAGUCCCAUAAACCUGAUGAGCUCACUGUAGACAUGUUGUUCUCCAAGCUUAAAACUCACCAAAUAGCCAGUGAAGGUAGAAACCCACCUAGGAACAGGACUCUUGCACUAGUUGGUAGUGAAUGCCAAACUGCACAUGGUCCCUCUAGUGUUUCUGAGUCUGGCAGUGGUCUUUCUUCUGGUUUUUCAUUUGCUUGUUUGGUUUCAGUCUCUGAUGAACAACUUGAAUCUUUGCCUGAGGAUGAUCUUGCUCUUUUUGUCCGCCGUUUUUCCUGAGCUUAUAAAAACGUGAGAGAAAGGAAAGGCAAACACACAAAAAUCUGUUUUGAGUGUGGUGUGCAGGGGCACUACAGGUCUGAUUGUCCAAAUUUCAAAGAUUAUGGUGAAAAUAGUGGUGGCAAGAACAACUAUAGCAAGAACAAGUCGUUCUCUCGUCAUGAAACCAAGUUCCGGCCAAAGGCUGAGAAGCAUCUUCAAAAGAUGGUUGCUGCAAUUGCUUCGGGUCUACAAUCUGCAGUAGAUUUAAGCGACAUCGACUCUGACCAGAGUGGUGAGGAUGAUCCUCCUUCUCCCAAACGGAAGGAUACAAAGAAGAAGAAGGCUGAUCGGCUCACCGGCAUGUGUUUUAUGGCUCAUGAGGCUGAUGAGGAGAACGACAACACGGAUGAGGUACAAAUGUCUUAUGAUGAAUUAUAUGCUGAGUAUGUGAAAGUUGAAAAUCUGUUUUUAACGCAAGCAAAGGUCCUUAAAAAAUGCACGCGCACCAUAAAUGAUAAUCUUGCUCAAAUUGAUUCUCUCACACUAGAAAUAACUACUCUGAAGGAUGCUACUGCUAGUGUGCCUUCUCAUGAUAUUGAUGAUUGUGCUGGAUGUGAUAUGUUGCGUGCUAAAUUAGAACUUGCUAGGAAUACUCAUGCUAGUAUGUCACAACUGCUUGAAUCUGCUAGAAAUGAACUUGCUGAUGUUAAAUUGAGCCCUUGCUCCCUUUGUGUUGAAAAUACACCUAUGUAUGUUCCUAAAGUUGCAGACUGUGCAUGCCCAAACUGUGAUAAAUUAAAUGCUAGAAUUAAGAAUCUCGAACAGACACUUUUUGAUGCAGAGAAUCCUCCCUCUUGUUUGAAGUGCAAAUACUUUGAUGAUAGAGUUAAAAAGUUGAAUCAAAUGAUCCUAGAUGUGCGUGCUCCUGGAAAUUGUGUAAAUUGUCCUAAACUCGAAGAAGAAGUUGAGGAACUAGGAGCUCAUCUCAGUGAAAUCUAUAAGAAAUAUGAUCUUGUUAAAGCUUCAAAUUCAAAGAAACCUACUGAUUCUUGUGAUGCUUCUUCUAGUUCUGUUACUACUUGUACUUUCUGUACCAUACUUGAGAAUGAUCUUGUUGCUAUGCAUGAAGCAUUUCGGGUCAGGUUUGGCAAGGGUGUAGCAAAUCCUGUGAGUGUAGAUUGUGUCUCUUGUGAGGGAUUAAAACUUGAGAUUCAGGCCUACAAGGAUAGAUAUGGGAGAGUUGUGAGGGUGUCCUCCUUAAAAGAGUGUUUAUCGUGUGCUUCCUAUGCAAAAGAAGUAGCUUACCUCAAGAUGAUCCUAGAAAAGCUCUCAAGUGGUGAGAAAAGAUUAAACAUGAUUUUAGACAAGUCAAAGGUGAGUAAAGGUCUAGGAACAACCCUCCAGAACCCAUAGGCAUUCGAAGUGAUGGAGCUAUCUUGGUCCGUGAGGAUGAGAGAGCGACAGUUUUUCAGUCUGGGGGACUUUUGCCCACGAGUCCAAAUGACAAGGGUACUUCUCCUUCCACUGGUUCUCGUGCUGAAAAAGAGAGAAUAGUUUACCAGUGCACCUAUUGCCACAAGUCUAGACACCUUGUUGAGUUUUGCUUCAAAAAACUUAGAGAUGAACGUAGAUCUCGUGUUCAUGCACUUAGGGGCAUGCAACGACAGGCUCGUGCGCUGCAUGUUUCUAACACACAUGGUUAGAGUGAGUACCUGCAUGGCUCGGGUAGGAGAGACUAUUUUAAAUCCAACGAGACUACUUCCAGAGCCCGAUUUACUAGGGGUAGAGGUCAACAAAAUUGUAGGUAUCAAGAUGGCCUUGCAUUGCAUGCUAAUAACACAUGUAUUUCUGCUCCUGCAAAGGGAGUGACCCAGUACUGAAUUAAAAAAUGUUUACUUACUAAUCCCAGUACUGAGUCACUUCGUUGUCGCUCUUUUGUGUAGGUUGGUUUUGAGGGUUUGGCAAACAAGUGGCUUAUUGACUCUGGGUGUUCACGCCACAUGACUGGUGAUACUAAAUGGUUCGCCUCCCUCUGCAAAGCGUCUGGUGAUGAAAAGAUCACUUUUGGGAAUGAUGCACAGGGUUGCAUUGUGUCCAAAGGAACAGUGCGAGUCAACGAGAACUAUCUUCUCAAGGAUUUAGCCCUUGUAAGUAAGUUGAGUUAUAAUUUGAUUUCAGUUUCACAACUUCUUGAUGAGGGUUUUGAGGUUCGUUUCAAGAAAUCUGCUUCUCGUGUUCUUGACUCUACUGGUGAUCUUGUCUUUGGUAUUUCUCGUGUUGGUAAAAUCUUUGGUGCUGAUUUUGGAGUGCUUUUGUCCUCUGGUCCAUGAUGUUUUGUCGCCUCUUUGAACAUGAGCGAGUUUCAGUUGUGGCAUCGUCGUUUGGGGCAUGUUGGUUUUGAUCAUCUGACGCGAAUUGGCAGCCUUGAUCUUUUGCGAGGUUUGCCUAAGCUCAAAGCCACCAAGGAUAUUGUGUGUGCCCCAUGCCGACAUGGAAAGCAAGUCUCUGCUUCUCACCCUCCAAUCAAUCUGGUGAACACAACCAGACCCGCCCAAUUGCUACAUAUGGACACAGUUGGUCCAUCUCGGGUCCGGUCAGCUGGUAGGAAGUGGUACGUGCUUGUCAUCGUAGAUGAUUUUUCUCGAUACUCUUGGGUUUUCUUUAUGGAGCAUUAAUCUGAAGCAUUCAAUCAUUUUCAUGAUUUGGCUUUAAGGCUAUUCAAUGUAUUUCCUGGUGAGAUGAAAACUGUUCGUAGUGAUAAUGGUUUGGAGUUCAAAAAUUCUUCCUUUGCUGAUUUCCUUGCCGAGAGAGGAAUUGAGCACCAAUUUUCGUCUCCUCGCAUGCCUCAACAAAAUGGUGUUGUGGAAAGGAAAAAUAGAACUCUUGUGGAGAUGGCAAGGACCAUGCUCGAUGAAUUUGGCACACCAUGACGUUAUUGGGCUGAAGCCAUUAGUACAGCUUGCUAUGUGUCAAAUCAUGUUUUUCUGCGGAGUUCUUUGAAAGUGACCUCUUAUGAGUUGAGAUUUGGUAGAAAGCCUAAUAUUUCUCAUUUGCGGGUGUUUGGUUGCAAGUGUUUUAUCCUAAAGAAGGGCCUUCUCGACAAGUUUGAGUCGCGCACUUCUGAUGGUAUCUUUCUUGGUUACCCUGCUCACAUGAAGGGCUAUUGUGUUUUAAAUUUAGAAUCUAACCUUGUGGUAGAGACUUGCGAUGUAACUUUUGAUGAGGCUAGCCCAGCUAGACCCGAGUUUUCAGGUACACCACAAGUUCCCGAAACCUUAUUCGUUGAAGAAGAUAAUGAGGAUGGUGUGGGACAAGCCCCCAUAUCUCUUGCACCUGCCGCAGAACCUGCUACCACUUCUGUUCCACUGGAAGAUGGCCCUGUACCUAGUACUUCAUCUACAACAUCCGUACCCUCAACAUCGAUGACUCCUGAUCCUACCUCCACUUCAGCUGAGGUAGAGGCUACCACGACUACUUCCUCACCUGCUUCUGACGUCCUUCAGGGAUCUCUACGUCUUCAUCAUGCUCACCCACCAGAUCUGAUCAUUGGCAACAUCUCUGAGCGUACAUUGCGCUCCAGGUCCACUCAUUUAUCAGACUUUGCACAUACUGCAUUUGUUGCAUCUUUUGAGCCCCGAGAUGUUAGCCAUGCAUUAGAAGAUGAAAACUGGAUAAGGGCAAUGCAUGAGGAGUUAGAAAACUUUGAGAGGAACAAGGUCUGGCAACUUGUAAAAACCCCGUUUGACCAGAGUAUAAAUGUCAUUAGAACCAAGUGGGUUUUCAAAAAUAAACAGGGAGAGGGCGGCCAAGUUGUUCGCAACAAGGCUCGCCUAGUUGCUCAAGGUUAUUCUCAAAUUCAGGGUUUUGAUUUUGACGAGACCUUUGCACCUGUUGCACGGUUGGAGGCGAUACGUAUUUUACUUGCUUACUCUGCUUCCAAGGGUUUUAAGUUAUUUCAAAUGGAUGUCAAAAGUGCUUUUCUAAAUGGUUUCAUUGAUGAAGAAGUUUAUGUAAAACAGCCCCCUGGUUUUGAAAAUGAUAAGCUCCCAAACCAUGUCUAUAAAUUGCAGAAAGCUCUUUAUGGUCUUAAGCAAGCCCCUAGAGCUUGGUAUGAUAGACUCAAAGGGUUUUUGAUCAAGAAAGGUUUUAAAAUGGGUGAAGCUGAUAAGACCUUGUUCACUCUUAGGCAUCAUAAUGAACUACUCUUAGUGCAAAUUUACGUAGAUGAUAUCAUCUUCGGUGGAUCGUCUAAUGCUCUUUGUGCUAAGUUUUCCAAAGACAUGAGUGAUGAAUUUGAGAUGUCCAUGAUGGGUGAGCUGUCCUUCUUUCUUGGACUACAAAUCAAGCAAACAAAGCAGGGCACCUUUGUAUAUCAAGGCAAGUACACGAAGGACAUGUUAAAGAAGUUUGGGAUGAGCGAUUCCAAGCCACUCCAUACCCCAAUGUCCACUACCACAAUACUUGAUGUAGAUGAAAAUGGUGAGGUAGUGGACCAACGAGAAUACAGAAGCAUGAUUGGCUCACUACUGUACUUGACUGCAACGAGGCCAGACAUACAAUUUGCAGUGUGUCUGUGUGCUCGUUUUCAGGCUUCCCCAAGAGACUCCCACAAGCAAGCCGUCAAACGCAUUUUAAGGUACCUCCAAGGAACACCUGAUUUUGGCCUAUGGUUUUCUAGUUCUUCUGGUUUAGGAGUUAGGGGGUUCGCAGAUUCAGACUUUGGUGGGUGUAGAAUAGACCGCAAGAGCACUUCUGGCACUUGUCACUUUCUAGGUACUUCCCUUAUUUCUUGGUCUUCUAGGAAGCAAUCUAGUGUAGCACAAAGCACAGCCGAGGCAGAGUAUGUAGCAGCUGCGAGCAGUUGUAGUCAGAUUCUUUGGAUCUCAUCUAUUUUACAUGAUUUUGGGAUUUUCAUUUCUUCUGUUCCACUUUUCUGCAAUAACACUAGUGCGAUAAGUAUUGCUAAGAAUCCAGUCCAACACUCUAGAACUAAACACAUUGAACUGCGCUACCACUUCAUAAGAGACCAUGUGGAGAAAGGUGAUAUAGAGCUCCUGUAUGUUGAUACUGAGCAUCAGCUUGCUGAUAUUUUUACCAAACCUUUGGAUGUUAGUCGUUUUACUUCUUUGCGGGGAGAUUUGGGGGUCGUCGGCCCCUAUGGGAUCUUGUGAAGGGGGAGUUUGUGUUUUUUCUUCUUCUUUUGUUCAUAUGUAUCAUAUUGCACCUUGCAUCAUAUGUAAGAUACCUUUGAGCUUUGAUGAUUCUUUUGUUGAAGAAAUGUUCAUAAUGAAGUUGCUCUUGGCCAUGUUAUGCUUAUUGUCUAGCUCAUCCUGUCAUGGUUUGCCAUAUAUGGAUAACCCUUUGCAUGCUAGUUUUAAUUGGAAAUGAAGUUGAACUAAAUAAACAUGUUGACCAUAUGAUGAGUUCUAUGCUAGUUGAUCACCUUGACUUGAGAUCUACUUGUGCUUUGUAUUGCAACUCUGAUCUAUGUUCUGGCUAGCUAGUUUGGACUCCAUUUGAUAUCACACCUGGAACCACCAGAGACUUGUUUUGCUUAGACCUAUGUGGCUCGGGUCGGAUAUGGUCUACUUUCUUGUCAAGUCCCUAGUCUUGCUUUCAUGAGUUACUUUUUAUCUGCAUUUUUUUGUGAAGAAUCACUCAAGAUACCUGCUCGUGCAGGAGGUGGUAUUUUGCUUGUGCCUAUUCCAUACUUUCUUAAUCAAACCACUCAAGGUACCUGCUCGUGCAGGAGGUGGUACUUUGCUUGUGACUUAACAUAAAAUCAAAAUCAAAUCACUCAAGGUACCUGCUCGUGCAGGAGGUGGUACUUUGCUUGUGCCUUUUCAUAAAAUUUCUAAGUGCAUCAUUUUGUGCUGACUUAAUUACUCAAGGUGCCUGCUCGUGCAGGAGGUGGCACUUUGCUUGUGAGAUGGUCAGCACAGCGAGAAGGUUCCAUUUUUGAUCGGGUGUGCCUCCUAGUCAUUGGUUAGCGCUAGGUUGCAAUGCCUUGCAACGUUUAGUCUCUUUUCCAUGUGUUUGCCUACAUAAGAACUCAUCAUGUGUGAAAACUGAAGUUACUAAGAACUUGAAUGUCUUGCUGCAUCUAGCUCAAGGAUUUUCUCUAUAUGUCUUAGUAUGACUAGAUGAGCUCUUACUUAUCAUGGCCUAGUAGCAUUUCUAUCUCAUGUGCUUCAACUGAAUAAUCUUCAAUGCUCGUACAAUUGCAUAAAUUCCACUUCAUGCAUACAUGCUCUAUCUUAAUGUUUUCUCAUAUGCAUAAAUUGAGGGGGAGGGAUCUCCCUUGAUGCUUAUAGUGCCAAAGGGGGAGAAAUAGGACAGUGCACAUGUUGCAAAUUGAGUUUCAGUAUGUACACAAGUUGAGGGGGAGUCAGGGGGAGCCAUUGAUAUUAUUAUUUUUUCUCUUGGUUCUUUCCCUUGUGAACUUGUGAAAACAAGGUUGAUUUCUCUCUGAUGAGUUUUUGUUGAAAGUGAAGCUUUGGAUCCGGGUGUUAGCUUCACUCUCCACUUUGUCCACUUGGUAAUGUCUACAAUUUUUUUUCUUGGGACCAAGUGUGUUUUUGCAACUUUCCUUCUCUCUGUUAAAACUAAAACUCUAUUUUUUCUUGCUGAGAGUUGGGUUGGCAAUAUAAACAUCAAGGGGGAGAUUGUGAGUCCAUGUGGUGAUACCCUUAAUUUUGUGAUGAUUAUAUUGCCAAUGCUUUUGCUCACUUUGAGAGUUAUUUUAAUGAAGUUUGAAAAUCACAGUUUGUCGGAUCAAGGACAUGAUCUAUUUUAUGUGACUUAUCUGGAUGGUGUUGAUUGUAUUAAACUGUUAAUUUGGAUUGACUUGGAUCAAGCUCAGGAAGUUUGUGCUCGCAAUAGUUGCUUGUUUCCAUUGUGUGCAGGUUCCAGUGAGUGCGGCGGUAGUCGACAACGAGGAUGGUUGGCAUGAUGUGACCAUGGACGCUGUGCGGGAUCGUGCGGCUCAAAGCAACGCACAAGUUUUGGACAAGGACUAUAUGGAGGCAAAGGAGAAGACCAUGUCAAGUGAAGGUUAUUUUGGUAUGUUUACCAAAAUCCACUAACAAGCAAACCAAGAGAGUGAUUGUGGUGUUGCUUAAGAGUGGAAAAUGUUAUUUACAAGUGGCUAAGUAAAAUGGCUAUUUCUUUUAGUGUUUUGGGCUUGGCCCAUUCGGUGGGAACCAUGACCCAUUCAAUGGUGGUGGAAGGCUGAUCCAUCCUUAUAUAUGAGCUGCUAGGUUUUUCCUUGUGGGCACGAAUAGAGGAGCCGCCGCUACGAGGAGAAAAACAGAGCAGCCGCCGCACAUUUGAGAUAGAGCUUCCUAUGUGGGAUUUAGCCUAUGUGAGAGAGGCUUGUAACUCGAGAAAUCUGAGAAAUAAAUCCUCAAAUUGUUCCCAGCCUUACUAUUGUCGAGGUCUGUUGUUUGUCCUUGCAAAUCUCGUUUUUCUGCUGUACUAAUUUUGUCCCUGUGAUUCCUUGGCUAUAAUGGGGUUUCCUUGAUGGAAAAUCAUGUCUAAAUUCAUGUGCAUCCAUCCCUAGCUUUGAAUCUGGUUGUUAUUCAUUUAUUCAUGGGUUCUUGAGGAUGGCGCAGGAGUUUAUCUUUCGUGAUUUAUUUUGUGCAAGUUCAUACUGAGUUCUUCCCCUGUUUUUGAUUCAAUUUGAGGUCGCAGUAGUUUCUAGGGAAGUUCUUGUAUGCGUGGUGGAAGGGAAGAGCACCUGCUGUUCUCUGUCUCGCCGCCGGGAGCGACCGUCUUAGGAUUCAGUUUAUCCUCUUCUAGCUGUUGUGUGACUUCCAAAUAGCAGAAUUGGUUUGUGCAAUUUUGCAGAGGUAUAAUCGUGGUUUUCAGUUGUUGCUAGUCUUGCAGCUCUAUGCGCUACAGGUGACUAGAGUUCCUGACAAGUGAAAUCAGCUCCAGGCAGUGUAGUUCUUCUCCAUUGAAAAAGU
This 9823-nucleotide long non-coding RNA is filed under the name Triticum aestivum (bread wheat). RNAcentral's name for it is "long non-coding RNA (TAES_LNC022139)". Lineage: Eukaryota; Viridiplantae; Streptophyta; Magnoliopsida; Poales; Poaceae. The record is from RNAcentral.